RNAcentral lists this ribosomal RNA (497 nucleotides) under uncultured bacterium. Its description in RNAcentral is "partial 16S ribosomal RNA". It matches the Rfam family "Bacterial small subunit ribosomal RNA", at positions 28 to 507 of the family's 1533-position model. The record is from RNAcentral.
GAUGAACGCUGGCGGCGUGCCUAAUACAUGCAAGUCGAGCGAACGGACGAGAAGCUUGCUUCUCUGAUGUUAGCGGCGGACGGGUGAGUAACACGUGGAUAACCUACCUAUAAGACUGGGAUAACUUCGGGAAACCGGAGCUAAUACCGGAUAAUAUUUUGAACCGCAUGGUUCAAAAGUGAAAGACGGUCUUGCUGUCACUUAUAGAUGGAUCCGCGCUGCAUUAGCUAGUUGGUAAGGUAACGGCUUACCAAGGCAACGAUGCAUAGCCGACCUGAGAGGGUGAUCGGCCACACUGGAACUGAGACACGGUCCAGACUCCUACGGGAGGCAGCAGUAGGGAAUCUUCCGCAAAGGGCGAAAGCCUGACGGAGCAUCGCCGCGUGAGUGAUGAAGGUCUUCGGAUCGUAAAACUCUGUUAUUAGGGAAGAACAUAUGUGUAAGUAACUGUGCACAUCUUGACGGUACCUAAUCAGAAAGCCACGGCUAACUACGUG